Molecule: ribosomal RNA, 464 nt
Filed under: Vreelandella stevensii
Lineage: Bacteria; Pseudomonadati; Pseudomonadota; Gammaproteobacteria; Oceanospirillales; Halomonadaceae
Description: partial 16S ribosomal RNA
Rfam family: Bacterial small subunit ribosomal RNA
Source: RNAcentral
CCUACGGGUGGCUGCAGUGGGGAAUAUUGGACAAUGGGCGAAAGCCUGAUCCAGCAUGCCGCGUGUGUGAAGAAGGCCUUCGGGUUGUAAAGCACUUUCAGUGGGGAAGAAAGCCUUGGGGCUAAUACCCUCGAGGAAGGACAUCACCCACAGAAGAAGCACCGGCUAACUCCGUGCCAGCAGCCGCGGUAAUACGGAGGGUGCGAGCGUUAAUCGGAAUUACUGGGCGUAAAGCGCGCGUAGGCGGUCUGAUAAGCCGGUUGUGAAAGCCCCGGGCUCAACCUGGGAACGGCAUCCGGAACUGUCAGGCUAGAGUGCAGGAGAGGAAGGUAGAAUUCCCGGUGUAGCGGUGAAAUGCGUAGAGAUCGGGAGGAAUACCAGUGGCGAAGGCGGCCUUCUGGACUGACACUGACGCUGAGGUGCGAAAGCGUGGGUAGCAAACAGGAUUAGAUACCCGAGUAGUC